GCGGAGGGCUGGAUGGCCGCGGCCCGGGACGCAGGUCUGGGGUCGAGGAAAGUCCGGACUCCCGUUGGCAAGGGUGCCGGGUAAUCCCCGGCGGGGGCAACCCCAGGGAAAGCGCCACAGAGAAGAGACUUCCACGCGAUGACCGAAGGUUCGCCUUCGCGACCGUGUGGUAAAGGUGAAACGGUGGGGUAAAAGCCCACCGCGGGACGGGUAACCGGACCGGCACGGCAAGCCCCACCCGGAGCAAUGCCAAAUAGGGGCCUCGCGCGGGGGCUGGUCUCGGCAACGGGAUACCGCCCGCAGGGAUGCCAACGCCCGAGAGGCCCGGGUUGGCAGCUUGACCGCCGUGGUAACACGGUUGGCAGAGGAAUGGUCAUCCAGCCCCGGGCUACGGUCCGGGGUGGACAAAAUCCGGCUUACAGGCUCUCCGCGCAC
Molecule: RNase P RNA, 435 nt
Filed under: Tabrizicola piscis
Lineage: Bacteria; Pseudomonadati; Pseudomonadota; Alphaproteobacteria; Rhodobacterales; Paracoccaceae
Description: Bacterial RNase P class A
Rfam family: Bacterial RNase P class A
About the family: Ribonuclease P (RNase P) is a ubiquitous endoribonuclease, found in archaea, bacteria and eukarya as well as chloroplasts and mitochondria. Its best characterised activity is the generation of mature 5'-ends of tRNAs by cleaving the 5'-leader elements of precursor-tRNAs.
Source: Rfam by way of RNAcentral